ACGGGUGAGUAAUACAUCGGAACGUACCCAGUCGUGGGGGAUAACUAACCGAAAGGUUAGCUAAUACCGCAUACGUCCUGAGGGAGAAAGCGGGGGACCGUAAGGCCUCGCGCGAUUGGAGCGGCCGAUGUCUGAUUAGCUAGUUGGUGAGGUAAAGGCUCACCAAGGCGACGAUCAGUAGCAGGUCUGAGAGGAUGAUCUGCCACACUGGAACUGAGACACGGUCCAGACUCCUACGGGAGGCAGCAGUGGGGAAUUUUGGACAAUGGGGGAAACCCUGAUCCAGCCAUUCCGCGUGAGUGAAGAAGGCCUUCGGGUUGUAAAGCUCUUUCGGCAGGGAAGAAACGCUCUGGAAUAAUACUCCGGGGUAAUGACGGUACCUGAAGAAGAAGCACCGGCUAACUACGUGCCAGCAGCCGCGGUAAUACGUAGGGUGCGAGCGUUAAUCGGAAUUACUGGGCGUAAAGCGUGCGCAGGCGGUUUUGUAAGACAGGUGUGAAAUCCCCGGGCUUAACCUGGGAACUGCGCUUGUGACUGCAAGACUCGAGUACGGCAGAGGGGGGUAGAAUUCCACGUGUAGC
RNAcentral lists this ribosomal RNA (581 nucleotides) under uncultured Rhodocyclaceae bacterium. RNAcentral describes it as "bacterial SSU rRNA". It matches the Rfam family "Bacterial small subunit ribosomal RNA", at positions 102 to 679 of the family's 1533-position model. The record is from RNAcentral. Lineage: Bacteria; Pseudomonadati; Pseudomonadota; Betaproteobacteria; Rhodocyclales; Rhodocyclaceae.